Small nuclear RNA from Trichechus manatus latirostris (Florida manatee), 117 nucleotides. RefSeq annotates it as U5 spliceosomal RNA. The record is from RefSeq and is a predicted model, not a curated record. NCBI's taxonomy places the organism in Eukaryota, Metazoa, Chordata, Mammalia, Sirenia, Trichechidae. The transcript has a single exon.
AUACUCUGGUUUCUCUUCAUAUCGCAUAAAUCUUUCGCCUUUUACUAAAGAUUUCCGUGGAGAGGGACUAACUUGAGACUUAAACCAAUUUUUUUGAGGUCUUGCUUAUACAAGGCC